Molecule: transfer RNA, 68 nt
Filed under: Papilio dardanus (African swallowtail butterfly)
Lineage: Eukaryota; Metazoa; Arthropoda; Insecta; Lepidoptera; Papilionidae
Also listed under: 2 other names
Description: tRNA-Leu
Source: RNAcentral
ACUAUUUUGGCAGAAAAAAUGUGAUGAUUUUAGAAGUCAUGAAUAUAUAGUUAUUUAUAUAUAUAGUA